Pelobates cultripes (western spadefoot toad) is the source of this 1802-nucleotide non-coding RNA. The record is from the annotation of a GenBank genome assembly. Lineage: Eukaryota; Metazoa; Chordata; Amphibia; Anura; Pelobatidae.
UAAACCUUUUGUAGUUAAUGUAUCAGUACUGUUACUACAACUGUUAUCACAGGUUUGGACCAUGAUGCAUACCCCCAACAUUGGUGUCCCAAGAAGCUGGACGCCGAUGGUAGGGGACAAAGGAGGUGGAACUGCCUGGAAAUUGAGCUAGUCUGCCUUAAUUACUGGUAUGUUAACCUAGCAUGAAUGCAUGCCAGCUUACCUGGCAAUCAAGCUUGCAGGAAGCACUGUCCUGGAGCCCUUGAGGGCCGUGCGAGUCCUACUCUCUCUACCUCUUGAAUUGGUCUGUGUAUAUUGUACUUUCUCCACUAAUUGUACAGUAAUAAAUAAAUAAACAUACUACACCAGUUCCCUGGUGUCCCCAAAAACGAGACCCAAGGGAACAAAGUCAGAACACGAAUAUCUGUACCAUCAAAACAGGGAUGGUUGGAAAGCAUGAUGAUGGAUUAUAUAAGUUUGCACCAUUUUAGAAAUAAUGUAUUGAAAGGUCUCCAUAGGUACAGCUCCCUACUGAUUAUGAAACCUCACUUUGUUAGUCUACCUCUGCCAUUGGGAGGCUUUAACUCUUGUGCAAGAUCCACAUGGUGUGUGCUGCCUGUAGUACUGAUCAUUGCAACUCCAUGUAGCUCAUCCAUAUGGAAGAGACAUUAUUAUUAUUAUUAUUAUUAUUAUGUUAUUUAUAUAGCGCCAUCAAAUUCCGCAGUGCUUUACAAUGGGUGGAUGAACAGACAUGUAGUUAUAACCAGACAAGUUGGACACACAGGAACAGAGGGGUUGAGGGCCCUGCUCAAUGAGCUUACAUGCUAGAGGGAGUGGGGUAAAAUGACACAAAAAGGUAAGGAUAGUAUUAGACUAGUGACAGUUGCAGAAGAGGAAUCAGUCAGGAGCUAUUAACAGUUUAAUUGAUACGCUUUUAUAAAGAAGUGGGUUUUGAAUGAUUUUUUGAAGGAGUCGAGACUGGGUGAGCAUCUAACGGAGGAAGGAAGCGAGUUCCACAGGAACGUUGCAGCCCUCGAGAAAUCUUGAAGGCGAGCAUCAGAGGUGGCAGUACGGACAGAAGAUAGAUGUAAGUCUUCAGCAGAUCGUAAGGGCCUAGACGGGACAUACUUGUGUAUAAGGGAGGAUAGAUAGGUGGGAGCAGCAUUAUGUAGCGAUUUGAAAGCAAGAACCAGAAUUUUAAAUUGAGCUCUAUAUUUUAUAGGAAGCCAAUGUAGGGAAUGACAGAAGGGUGAGGCAUGGGAGGUGCGGGCAGACAGGAAGAUGAGCCUCGCUGCCACAUUCAUUAUGGACUGUAACGGCGCAAGUUGGGAGCACGUAAGACCACUGAGAAGUGGAUUACAAUAGUCAAGGCGAGAAAGGACAGUGGAAUGGACCGACACCUUAGUCACAUCUGGCGUUAAAGGACCACUCUAGGCACCCAGACCACUUCAGCUUAAUGAAGUGGUCUGGGUGCCUGGUCCAGUUAGGGUUAACCCAUUUUUUCAUAAACAUAGCAGUUUCAGAGAAACUGCUAUGUUUAUGAAUGGGUUAAGCCUUCCCCUAUUUUCUCUAGUGGCUGUCUCAUUGACAGCCGCUAGAGGCGCUUGCGUGUUGAAAAUCACAGUGAGAGCACGGCAGCGUCCAUAGGAAAGCAUUAUGAAUGCUUUCCUAUGUGACCGGCUGAAUGCGCAUGCAGCCAGCCGACGGGGAGGAGAAGAGGAGGAUCGGAGGAGGAGAGCUCACCGCCCAGCGCUGGAAAAAGGUAAGUUUUAACCCCUUUCUGCCUUCCAGAGCUGGGCGGGAGGGGGACCCUGAGGGUGGCG